UACGGAGGGUGCAAACGUUGCUCGGAAUCAUUGGGCGUAAAGCGCACGUAGGCGGUCUGUUAAGUCGGAUGUGAAAGCCCUCGGCUCAACCGAGGAAGUGCAUACGAAACUGGCGGACUUGAAUAUGGAAGAGGGUCGCGGAAUUCCCGGUGUAGAGGUGAAAUUCGUAGAUAUCAGGAAGAACACCCGUGGCGAAGGCGGCUCUCUGGAACGCAACUGACGCUGAGACGCGAAAGCGUGGGGAGCAAACAGG
Molecule: ribosomal RNA, 253 nt
Filed under: uncultured bacterium
Lineage: Bacteria
Description: partial 16S ribosomal RNA
Rfam family: Bacterial small subunit ribosomal RNA
Source: RNAcentral